RNAcentral lists this transfer RNA (76 nucleotides) under Candidatus Nealsonbacteria bacterium CG10_big_fil_rev_8_21_14_0_10_37_25. Its description in RNAcentral is "tRNA-Val". It matches the Rfam family "tRNA". From Rfam's summary of the family: Transfer RNA (tRNA) molecules are approximately 80 nucleotides in length. Their secondary structure includes four short double-helical elements and three loops (D, anti-codon, and T loops). The record is from RNAcentral. Lineage: Bacteria; Candidatus Nealsoniibacteriota.
GGGCGAGUAGCUCAGUGGUUAGAGCGCUUCUCCUACACAGAAGAGGUCGCAGGCUCAAAUCCUGCCUCGCCCACCU